CCUACGGGCGGCAGCAGUGAGGAAUAUUGGUCAAUGGGCGUAAGCCUGAACCAGCCAUGUCGCGUGAGGGAUGAAGGUUCUAUGGAUCGUAAACCUCUUUUAUAAGGGAAUAAAGUGUGGGACGUGUCUUGUUUUUUAUGUACCUUAUGAAUAAGGAUCGGCUAACCUCGUGCCAGCAGCGGCGGUAAUACGGAGGGUCCGUGAGUUAUCCGGAUUGAUUGGGUUUAAAGGGUGCGUAGGCGGCCGUUUAAGUCAGCGGUGAAAGUAUGUGGCUCAACCAUAGAAUGGCCUUUGAAACUGGGGGGCUUGAGUGUGGUUGAGGCAGGUGGAAUGCGUGGUGUAGCGGUAAAAUGCUGAGAUAUCACGCAGAACCCCGGUUGCGAAGGCAGCCUCCCGAGCCAUGACUGACGCUGAUGCACGAAAGCGUGGGGAUCAAACAGGAUUAGAUACCCUAGUAGUC
RNAcentral lists this ribosomal RNA (460 nucleotides) under uncultured bacterium. RNAcentral describes it as "partial 16S ribosomal RNA". It matches the Rfam family "Bacterial small subunit ribosomal RNA", at positions 338 to 795 of the family's 1533-position model. The record is from RNAcentral.